GGGAAGGUGGCUCAGUGGUAGAGCGGUUGCCUUGCAUGCCUCAGGUCUUGGGUUCGAUUCCUCAGCACCCCA
Dipodomys ordii (Ord's kangaroo rat) is the source of this 72-nucleotide non-coding RNA. NCBI's taxonomy places the organism in Eukaryota, Metazoa, Chordata, Mammalia, Rodentia, Heteromyidae. The record is from Rfam.